RNAcentral lists this ribosomal RNA (204 nucleotides) under uncultured Streptococcus sp. RNAcentral describes it as "partial 16S ribosomal RNA". It matches the Rfam family "Bacterial small subunit ribosomal RNA", at positions 1180 to 1382 of the family's 1533-position model. The record is from RNAcentral. Lineage: Bacteria; Bacillati; Bacillota; Bacilli; Lactobacillales; Streptococcaceae.
UGACGUCAAAUCAUCAUGCCCCUUACUGACCUGGGCUACACACGUGCUACAAUGGUUGGUACAACGAGUUGCGAGUCGGUGACGGCGAACUAAUCUCUUAAAGCCAAUCUCAGUUCGGAUUGUAGGCUGCAACUCGCCUACAUGAAGUCGGAAUCGCUAGUAAUCGCGGAUCAGCACGCCGCGGUGAAUACGUUCCCGGGCCUU